CCGACAGCAAGUGCCCAAGUGUGAACCAAAGUUGCGGGUGGUCGAGAAUUUUGUGUCAAUUCACAUUGACCCAUUAACUCUUUUGGCAAGAGGGGCCGACAGCAAGUGCCCAAGUGUGAACCAAAGGUUGCGUGUGGUCGAGAACUUUGUGUCAAUUCAAACGAAAAUGGGGGUGGCCGGGAGGCGAGGACAACAAGUGCCACAAGCGCCGGGCAAAGGUCGCCGGCAGCACCACCUGCGAACCUCCCGAGGGGCAAGCCGCACGUGCGAAGGCGUCGGUCGUUUCUUUUUGGCGGGAGUCCUCAAGGGGGAAACACCGGACAAAGACCCCUCACACGAUUUGACCCAUGAAAGUGGGUGGUUUAGGGUUUACUACGAGCACGCGCGACAUCACUUCCCCACACCCCCGUAACCUCGGCUGUACCCGAAUUCCCUUUAAGAAACGAGAAAAGAG
This 454-nucleotide long non-coding RNA is filed under the name Eucalyptus grandis. Its description in RNAcentral is "long non-coding RNA (EGRA_LNC004314)". Lineage: Eukaryota; Viridiplantae; Streptophyta; Magnoliopsida; Myrtales; Myrtaceae. The record is from RNAcentral.